ACGGGCCAUUGGUGGAGGAUGGUGUGAACUUGGGCAACAAUACCUGAAGUUUGACCAGGCUUGUUUUAAUAUCCCUGAUCUGCCCCCCCAGACUCCCGCCCCUCGGGACCCUGUGCCUUGCCAUUUACAAGCUGUAGAAGAUCGGGUUUCUUCUUUUAUUCUUGGUGGAAUGGAGAUGGAUUGCGCUGCUGGAACGGAGUUCAACCAAGCCACAUGCGGUUGUUUAUAGUUAAAAAAUAGACGUUUCACCACGAUCGUCUGCAAAUCAGUGUUUCUGCAGAGUAAUGGAUGAAGAUGCGAGGUUAAAAGUGACUGCUUUGAAUUUUGGAUGAGAUAAAAAUUUCGCGUAAAUGUUAUAUUUGUA
Molecule: long non-coding RNA, 364 nt
Organism: Liolophura sinensis
Lineage: Eukaryota; Metazoa; Mollusca; Polyplacophora; Chitonida; Chitonidae
Exons: 3
Source: RefSeq, a predicted model, not a curated record